AGAAAUUGCAUCAUUCAUUUCAAACAGACGGAAAGAAACGAGACCAAGAGAUUGAGACAACGAAAUUGCAAGUACGUAACCUUACCAGUGAUCUGCAGACUGAAAGAAUCAAAUCGCAGAACGUUAGCGCAGAAUUGAAAGAAACCAUUGUUAACCUUCAAACGGACAAUCUGCUUCUCAAACAAAGCUUAGAGACUUCUUCAACCAUUCAAUUAGCAUGGCUUACAAAAUGAUUAAUGCUGCUGAGGC
This is a long non-coding RNA of Corticium candelabrum, 249 nucleotides long. RefSeq lists it as uncharacterized. The record is from RefSeq and is a predicted model, not a curated record. NCBI's taxonomy places the organism in Eukaryota, Metazoa, Porifera, Homoscleromorpha, Homosclerophorida, Plakinidae. The transcript has 5 exons.